Mus musculus (house mouse) is the source of this 62-nucleotide non-coding RNA. The record is from Rfam. Lineage: Eukaryota; Metazoa; Chordata; Mammalia; Rodentia; Muridae.
UAGGGAAGUCGGGGCUCAGACCCCCUCCCUGAGCCUAGGGUAACUUUGUCUGUGGAGGGGAA